AAGUUACCUCUAAUUCCUUGGAUCAAGAUCCCCUUAGCAGCGUCAGGCAAGUGUACAAGUCGGGCGAGGUGGAGGAAGGUUGGCGUCUAUUUCUGUUGGUCGGGCAACCCAGUGCCACCGCUAGCAGUGCCAGUGUAGCAGUGAGUGUGCCAGGGGCACCCAGUGCCACCGCUAGCAGUGCCAGUGUAGCAGUGAGAGUGCCUGAUGCUCGUAGUGUAACCCCCUGCAGCGCCAGAGGCAAGAGGUUCAUGUACAUGUGGCAUUGUGGAGCCACCAGCAGGAGUGCCUAGCCACCAGCAGGAGUGCCUAGCCAUCAGUAGGAUUUCCUGGCAUCAGUAGGAGUGCUUAGGUCCUAAAAGGAGUGUCUACCACCAGCAGGAGUGCCUAGCCAUCAACAGGAGUGCCUAGCCACCAGGAGAAGUUUCUAGCCACCAGCAGGAGUUUCUAGCCACCAGGAGGAGUGCCUAGCCACCAGGAGUAGUACCUAGCUACCAGCAGGAGUGCCUAGCCAUCAGCAGGAGUGCCUACCCACCAGCAGGACUAUGUCUGUAGAGGCCCGACCAGCCGACGUGGCAUCCGACACAGCAUUGUUCCUCCGACCUGUUCUCACGCACCUCCUCUCACCAGCCGGCAACCUCACUCUAGGUAGACGACCGUCCGCUGCCGUGGCAUCCCUCCGCUGCCAUCUUCCCGUCUGCACCCAUGCCUCAAGGCCACGAACCUCAUUCACCAGUUGAAGAUGGAAUUCUUCUGGCCUCUCGCAUUCCUGCCUGCUCGCUUCUGCCUGCCUCUGUGGAUGUUUUUCUCGCUGUCGGACGCAGACUGGGGCGCUGCCAUGGUCUUGGGGCCGGGUCUACCACACGGCUAACUCUCCCACCUGCUGUUCUUCUCGCCAGAACUCACUCCACGUCGUCGCCUUCUGACGGCAGGAGGAAGGAGGCUCUUGAACCCUUGAGCUGUGUCUCUUCUUUCCCAGAUAGUGCACCCCGCAUCUCGGGUAGUUGAUUAUGUGUUGUACUACGCGUGUUUGUGAGUGUGGUGGCCUUUGGCCUCAGUAGUAAUGCCUGCUGGCUGCCCUUACCCACCGCGACUGAGUUCGCAGUGUGCUGAAGGAACUUUACUACCGUCCACCCGCAAAUUCCCUCCCUCAAAAUGGCUAUAGAACGCGGGCGGGGCUCGAGGCAUUCCCACCAGAGUCAUGCCCCUCAUUACCACUACGUCAAGCCCUUCGGGGAGAAGCUCAAGGACUGCUGCCGCUCCACCAUCGCCUUUAUCUUCAGCAACGUGGGCGUAUGCGGCCUCAUGGUGGGCUACACCAUCAUGGGAGCCUUCCUCUUCUCCGCCAUCGAGAGCCAAAAUGACGUUGUCAUCACCGCCGACGUUAUUCGCAACCAGACCAUUGAGCAGCUGUGGAACAUCACAGUGAUGUACAACGUGCUUGACAAGCCCAACUGGAGGGCUAAUGUGUCCCACAUUAUGCUCACAUAUCAGCGAGCCAUCAUAAAACUGGUGGACGAGGGCUGGGACGGAGGCAACACCACUCUACCCAACAAGUGGUCCAUAGAGGGAGGAUUUCUCUACUCUCUCACCGUCAUAACAACCAUAGGUUACGGUCAUAUCUCUCCGAACACAGACACGGGCAAGAUGAUGACUAUCUUGUACACGGUAUUCGGCAUGCCCGUGUUCCUGCUUUACAUGGCCAACAUGGGCGACAUCUUGGCCAAAAGCCUCAAGUGGACGUAUGCUAAGCUGUGUAUCUGCCGGCGGCCUGAACACAAAUACGACCCGUCGGUGGUAUGGCGGUCCGCUGAAGCCACUCUCAGGGCCCCCGCGGGACCCUCCAACUUCCACCCUGAGUACCCACAGGAGCUGGGAGAGGAAAUCUCGAUAGACACCACCUCGUGGAGUGCUGGGCGCGCAGACAAAGUAGACGUUAGCAGUGUUAAUAUUCCCAUCACAGUGUCGCUAGUGAUCAUGGUGGCCCUCUUGUAUGGUGGAACUUUACUCUUCGAAAAGUACGAGGGAUGGGACCCCCUCACUUCUUUUUAUUUCUGUUUCAUAUCAUUGACUACUAUAGGAUUCGGUGACUAUGUUCCCGGGUUGAGUGUUCACCCGACUGGUGACGAUGAGAAAGGAAUGAGCUUUAUAUACUGCUCUCUCUACCUCAUGUUCGGCCUGGCGCUGCUCUCCAUGUGUUUCAAUCUCAUGCAAGAAGAGGUGGUACAUAAAAUAACUGCGUGUCUCAAUGCUAUUCGUUUCUUUAAGCGAAGAGAAACGGACUAAAAAUUCCUUAGUUUAACCCUAGUGAAUUUUCCAAACCCUGACCCAAUGGUGUAAGCGCGCCACCUUCCUCCUCCCCGUGCGGCUGCGGUUGGUGGUGACCGCAGGCUCUGGGCCAUCAAAAGCCGAAUAUGGCUGCCGCUGCGGUUAGUGGCAGCUGCAGUCUCUUGGCCACCAAAUCUCAGUGUAUUGCAACGGCUGGAUGUACCCUCGUGUUCUUGGCCGCCAACAAACACCACCAACCCUCCACGUCAUGACCGCUGACCGCCGCUAAAGGCCGAACAAUGCCCACCCUUUUCGAUUAACGACUCUACCACCGGCAACAUCGCCGCAGCCCGAUUCAGGCCGGAUGAACCGGACUGAACCCUUGCCACUCUGCUCUCAGUGAUAGCUAAACCUCAGUGCAGAAUGACUUUACCAUCGAGAAUAACCUAAUGGUUACUGCUCAAAGAUGUGUCCAUGAAUUCCGAGGAAGGGCCAUGGAUACUUCUGGCAGUCUGCAGGAAGCAGCAUAACGACUCCUACAGCUUAAAAGAGAGUGAUUAUGCUGGAGCUGCCAUUGCUACCGCCACCUUAAUGGACUAUGGCAUUAUCACCAAGGACGACAAAAGUCAAGUUAUUGGACCACAGAAGUUACGAGAUGCCAGACACAAAUACUGAAUGGAGAGGCAAGAAAAUGAGCUAGCAAACUCUGAAAAUAUCACAUCACUAUUUUGAUUAGGAAGACCUCCACUCGUGUAAUGACAAAGGAUGAGAAGACCAAGAAAUGGAGUACAAAGAUAGUGGUGAAAGAUCAUUACAUCAUCAUGAUGGAGCCCGGCACUGAAUAUCUCACUCAUGCGACUCCCAAGUCAGGCUAUGGAAAGGUGAUUGCCAAGACUGCAUUUCUGGUGGAACAGAAACUAACUCAGCAGACUGUUGUAUGUGUUGGUAGUGACAGAACCAUUGUAAAUGUCGGAGCUGACAAUGGAGCCAUUCAUCUUGAAAUGUUGCUUGAUCAUCAGGUCCAUUAUUUAAUCUGUCAGCUUCUUGGAAAUGAGCUGCCACUCCAGGGUGUUUUCUACUUUUAUGACGGUAAGCCAAGUGGUCCUGAGCAUUGGAGAGGUCCCACUGGCUAGCAAAUCAAGGAGCUGCCAGUUGAUACUUUCCAGUCAGUCAGUUUCACUGAUUUCUCUGUUCUGAAUGACAAGGUGGCAGAGGAUCUGUCCUGGGACCAGAAAUACUUGUAUAGGAUUUGCAAAGGAGUGAUCACAGGUGUGGCUGAUGAUGACUUGGCUGUUCUUGAACCAGGUCCACCAUGUGUGUCAAGGUGGAAUACUUUAUGCAGUAGGAUCCUUAGGCUGCAUGUUGCAACAUCAAGACCUAGUUAGGAGCUGAAAGAGUCGUCAUUAUGAUUUUAAAGUUCAGUGCUUCAAUGUGAUUCCACAUCAAAGAACUUCCAGUCACUGCAGUUUAUGAAACACCUGAACAGCAAAGAAUAGAGGAUAGUAAAGAAGACUGUCCAGAGAAAUUCCUACUUUGGUCACACAGAUCAGCUACUUCUUGGUAUGUGCGCUGAUGAAGACAUGACUGUGAGAGACACAGAUGUCACAGUGAUAAGAAAAAUUAGAGAAGAGAAUCAGCAGAGAGAAGAAAGUACUGAGAGCUUUGAUGAGGAUGGAGAAGAUUCUGCUGAUUUUGUUGACGAGGACUUGCUAAUCUACACUGAUGAUGAUGAUGACGACAGUGAAGAUGAAGAGAAUGACAAUGUGGCUCCUAUUCUCAACUCAAGAUAAGUAAUGAUUCCCAAACUAAAGUGGCAAUCAGAGAACUAUCAUUCCAUGAUUGACUGGAAGACUGUACUCAAAACAGAGCCUCCAUUCAAUGCUUCUCUAUCAGAUCAACAGGUUCUGAAAAUUAUUGAGACUCCACUGGAAGUGUCCAAGUGGCCAAACUACACCCAAGCUGUUGAGAGAGAGAUAAAACUGAUGAGUGAAGCUUGUACUGAAGUGACUGGACAGAAGGCAAGAGAUGGAUAUAUCAGGCAAAGAAUAUUUUCCAGGAAAGUGAUGCCCAAGUUCCACACCAAAAAAGACUUCACUUAUAACUUGUAAUAAUUUAAAAUUUAAUAGCUGAUGAUUGUAUAAUCAAAUGUACACAGGUUAUAUCAAUCUCCACAACCAAAAAUUAUAUAGACCAUAUACACUUGAUUAUUAUCCUGACAACCAAUAAUUUAUAACUAAACGAAAAAAACGCAUAUCAAUGAUUUUAAGUAAUAUUAAAUUUAAACUAAUCUAUGAUAUACUAAUUAAAAGUUAGCUAAAAUAAUUAUGUUGUGUUUGAGUAAGAGUAGGUUAUGCAAGGUUUAUAAGUUACGUAGCCCUUAAAAAUCAUGACCGAUUCAAUAGUUACACGCAAACGUGAAACUAAAUAAACUUAGUUACUAAAACUUAAGAGGAAAUAUCCACUUUAUUCAUCAGAGGAAAUAAACUCAACCUCCAUCUUUCAGUGUUUGAGAACUACAACCAUUUAAUAAAGGGACAUGUUGAAAAUGGUAUUAAUUAGCAACAAGUAGAUGAGUAAGACACAUGUUCAACAGCUGGGUAUCGUUAUUAUUUAAACGUUUUAACAAUGAAGAUAUCCAACUGCUACUCAUGAGUCUUACUCAUCAAAGACAUAAUAACCUAAGAAAAUAAAACAAAAAGUAAAGACAAUUCCUUCUUGCUAAUCAAAAAUAAAUAAAUGCAACUGUCGAGACGUUGAAAAUGAGAUGGACAAAACAUAACUUAUACAGUAAAUCUAUCUUGUUCACCCGUAUUGUAUGUAAAAUUUAUUAUUUAAUAUAAGCAACAGACACUAACCCAGCAUCAGAACAAUGCCUAGUGAUAAAAUGAAAUGGUUGACUGAGAUCUUUCCAAAUAGCCAGUGAUGCCCAUUCAAGUUCAUGUCCCAAUGAGAUCCGUUGGGCAUUGCUGCCUCUGAGGCAGCAGCGAUGCCCGCUUAAUGCCUGUUUAUUUAUAUACCGUAUUUUCCGGCAUAUAAGACGCACGACAGACGUAUCAUAGCAGUAAAUCAAAAAUCAUAUUUUCCAGGGCUAAUUACCCCUCUUCCUUUACGCUAAAACGUGACCCAAAGCGUACCCUUGACCCUGACCUUAAGGAUCAAAGAAGAUUUUAUACGAUGAUUAUCCAAAGCCUUUCAUGGGAGAAAAGCCGCGCCUUAUAUGAUGGAAAAUACGGUAUUUUAAAUUCCAAGAUAUUCUUGUAAAUUGUAAAAAAUUUCAUAACCCAGGGAGGACCCCUUAAAAAUCUUUUCAAGGACCCCAGUUUGAAAACUAGUAUGAUACUAGUAUCAUACUAGUAUCAUACUAACCUGUAAGUCGUCAGGUUAUUUGUGAAAUCUAGUGCUUUCCCAAUAUUAUCAUACAAUAAUUUUACACGAUUUGAGAUCUGCACACAUUAGCACUUAGAAAAGUGGUAGUGGAGCUACAGUGUACUCCACGCGUGCUCUGUCCAUAAUGCUAAUAACAAGAGGGUAACAUUAUGUUGUUAAACACAAUGUUUAUGUGAGAGGAGAGAGAGUGUAAAGUUUUAACGAUAGCGCCCAACUACUCUCCAGAGCACCAUGACAAUGGGGCGCACCGUUCCCUGCUCCUGUUAAUAAUGUUUACACGUGAUGUGUUUGACCAGGUGUGCCAUGACGUGCCCUGACGUGAUCUGAUGUGACCUGGUGUGAAUUCACGCCGCAGCCAAAUCUCUUCCUACAUCUGUUUUGACACAACGUUUUUAUAAAUACGGGGAGUGCCGUUCUCUGUUCUUAUUAAUAAUGUUUACAAAGAGGGGGUGUUUAACCCGGUGUUCCACGACACAACCUGAUGUGACCUCGUGUCACCUAGUGUGACCAGGUGUGACCCCAGCCUCACGCUGCUGUCACCACUUCAUUUGUUAUGACAAUAAAAUAUCCCCUUUAACGUGAUUUUAUUUCCUUUCAUUUUAAUAAUAAAACAAAUACGAUUCAAUAAUAAAGGUAUCUGACUCUUGACAGCUGACACCGUCACCAGAAAACAGCUGACACCGCCACCAGAAGCAACAGCUGACACCGUCACUAGAAGCAACAGCUGACACCGUCACCAGAAGCAACAGCCGACACCGUCACCAGAAGCAACAGCCGACACCGUCACCACAAGCAACAGCUGACACCGUCACCACAAGCAACAGCUGACACCGUCACCACAAGCAACAGCUGACACCGUCACUAGAAGCAACAGCUGACACUGUCACCAGAAGCAACAGCUGACACCGUCAGUAGAAGCAACAGCUGACACCGUAACUAGAAGCAACAGCUGACACCGUAACUAGAAGCAACAGCUGACACCGUCACUAGAAGCAACAGCUGAUACCGUCACUAGAAGCAACAGCUGACAGCAUCAACAUCAUUUAUUCUUGGCUUGUGCUCAAUCUUUUGUUUUUAAGUGAUGUCCUCUCUUCCUCCUCUUCUUCCUACUCAUCUUAUCCUGCCCUCCUUCUCCCCUAUUAUUUCUCCUGUUUUUCUUUCCCCUCCUCCUCCUUCUCCCUUUCCUUCUCUUCAUCUUCCUUCUCCUCACUCUCCUCCCCUGCAGGUUCUCCAGUUACUUUAAUUCCUCUUCUUCCUAUUCUUCAUUCUUUACUCACCUGCUGCUUCUUCCGUUCCUUCUCGUACACCUCUUCUUCCUUUUCCUCCCCACAGCUUCUCCUUUCCUUAUUCCUUUCCUUCUGUUUCUUCUGUUCGACUUCAUCCUCUUUUUUCUUCUUCUCUUCUCCCUCAUUUUACUCGAACUCUUGUCAUUCUAUUCCACUCAACCUCCUCAAUUUUCUUCUCCCCACCACUACUUCAACAUUCUUCCCUCCACCACUACUUUAAUAUUCUCCCCUCCACCACUACCUCAACAUUCUCUCCACCUCUAACACAUCUUCGCUUAUCGUCACUCAGUUUUUCUCUCUGGUCUACGUUUCACUUAGCGUCACUGUUACGUCUCCUGUUACAGGUCACUCAGCAGUAAUCUCAGUGAAGCAGUUUAUACAUAGUUUUCUUCCCGAGGUAAUGUAAAACUGGUCAUCCCACCAUCAACAGCUUCAUCCA
Molecule: RNA transcript, 7377 nt
Organism: Cherax quadricarinatus
Lineage: Eukaryota; Metazoa; Arthropoda; Malacostraca; Decapoda; Parastacidae
Gene name: two pore potassium channel protein sup-9
Source: RefSeq, a predicted model, not a curated record